Molecule: non-coding RNA, 26 nt
Filed under: Mus musculus (house mouse)
Lineage: Eukaryota; Metazoa; Chordata; Mammalia; Rodentia; Muridae
Source: RNAcentral
UCUCAGCUCUCUGUGGACAUUCCCAU